This is a long non-coding RNA of Polypterus senegalus (gray bichir), 346 nucleotides long. RefSeq lists it as uncharacterized. The transcript is spliced from 3 exons. NCBI's taxonomy places the organism in Eukaryota, Metazoa, Chordata, Cladistia, Polypteriformes, Polypteridae. The record is from RefSeq and is a predicted model, not a curated record.
GCGCACACACCUAUGUUGUUCAAAAAACGAACAGUUAUGGUUCUAAAUGAUUUAAAAAGGCCUACGGCUUGGCAAAACAUCCUCAUAGCUCCAGAACAAUAUGUUCGAAUGCCGAAUGAAGAUAAUUCCAUGUGGCAGAUUGCCAAAAACCUGAAGAUUUCAUACAAGGGUGUCUAUUACUGUUUUGAGAGAAGAGGGCAAACCGGAUCUACCCAGGAUAGAAAAAGAAGGGAAAUGCCAAGAUGGGCAACUGCAUAAGAAGAGAAAGACAUCAGAGUCAGCAGUUUGGCAAACUCACACCUUACAGUUUCACAGAUUACUUUUAUUUUGAAACUCUCCCUCUAAG